RNAcentral lists this ribosomal RNA (520 nucleotides) under uncultured bacterium. RNAcentral describes it as "bacterial SSU rRNA". It matches the Rfam family "Archaeal small subunit ribosomal RNA", at positions 345 to 866 of the family's 1478-position model. The record is from RNAcentral.
AACCUCCGCAAUGUGAGAAAUCGCGACGGGGGGAUCCCAAGUGCCAUUCUUAACGGGAUGGCUUUUCAUUAGUGUAAAGAGCUUUUGGAAUAAGGGCUGGGCAAGACCGGUGCCAGCCGCCGCGGUAACACCGGCAGCUCUAGUGGUAGCAGUUUUUAUUGGGCCUAAAGCGUCCGUAGCCGGUUUAAUAAGUCUCUGGUGAAAUCCUGUAGCUUAACUGUGGGAAUUGCUGGAGAUACUAUUAGACUUGAGACCGGGAGAGGUUAGAGGUACUCCCAGGGUAGAGGUGAAAUUCUGUAAUCCUGGGAGGACCGCCUGUUGCGAAGGCGUCUAACUGGAACGGUUCGGACGGUGAGGGACGAAAGUUAGGGGCGCGAACCGGAUUAGAUACCCGGGUAGUCCUAACUGUAAACGAUGCGGACUUGGUGUUGGGGUGGCUUUGAGCUGCUCCAGUGCCGAAGGGAAGCUGUUAAGUCCGCCGCCUGGGAAGUACGGUCGCAAGACUGAACUUAAAGGAAUU